AGGUAAAUCCGCUGUGCAUUUUGGGUGAGACGUGAUGCGUACCCGUAGUGGGGAAGUUGGUGAUCCUAUGCUGUCGAGAAAAGCCUCUAGCGAGUGGUACUUCGGCCCGUACCGAUAACCGACACAGGUAGUUAGGUAGAGAAUACCAAGGCGAUCGAGAGAACUGUGGUUAAGGAACUCGGCAAAAUGCCCCCGUAACUUCGGGAGAAGGGGGGCCUGAGGGGUGAAGCCACUUGCUGGCUAGCCCUUUUGGGCCGCAGAGACCAGGGAGAAGCGACUGUUUACUAAAAACACAGGUCCGUGCGAAGUCGCAAGACGAUGUAUACGGACUGACGCCUGCCCGGUGCUGGAAGGUUAAGAGGACGGGUCAGCUCACCUUUGGUGGGCGAAGCUCAGAAUUUAAGCCCCAGUAAACGGCGGUGGUAACUAUAACCA
This 435-nucleotide ribosomal RNA is filed under the name Acinetobacter baumannii. RNAcentral's name for it is "partial 23S ribosomal RNA". It matches the Rfam family "Bacterial large subunit ribosomal RNA", at positions 1534 to 1948 of the family's 2925-position model. The record is from RNAcentral. Lineage: Bacteria; Pseudomonadati; Pseudomonadota; Gammaproteobacteria; Moraxellales; Moraxellaceae.